This is a long non-coding RNA of Lactuca sativa (garden lettuce), 815 nucleotides long. RefSeq lists it as uncharacterized. Lineage: Eukaryota; Viridiplantae; Streptophyta; Magnoliopsida; Asterales; Asteraceae. The record is from RefSeq and is a predicted model, not a curated record.
UCGUAACAAAAUUUCCCCCAAAUUUCUGGUCCUCUCAAAACUAUCGUCACUGGGAAAUAGACGAGUACGGGGAAAAUGCGAAGCCUACACUGACGAUUCGUAUGUCCCCUUUUGUGAUUCAUGAGUCAUCGGUGUUCACUUGGUGAGUUGUUGGGUGGAUGAAGGUUAAUACGUAUGGGGAAUUGAAGCAUCCUAUGCAGAAACAUGUGUUUUUGCCAUUGGAGCCUUCUCUGGGUCAAAUCUGUUAAAGGUGACUUGUUGAUCAUAUUGGAUGUCUCAGUGGUUGUAUCAAGUUUCAAGCAUUAAUUAUGCUGAUUGCAACAUCUUCUAAAGUUAGUUGUGUAAAAUGAUUGGACAUCAAAAUUGAGUUUAUAAUCUUGUCUUCAUGGGUGGGUAAGGAUUGUUGCCAGUGGAAGCCGGAUCCCUGAGUUCAUUGGAUCCUUCAAACAGCUGAUGUACCUCAAUCUCUCUGCUGCUGGUUUUCAAGGUAUGGUGGUUUUACCUGGACAUCAUGAGUGGAUUUGCAACAGGUUUUUGGGGUGUAAUUGGAGUUCUGUUGUUGAAGAAGCAGUGGAGAUGGAGGCUUUUCAUGUUUGUUGAGAAAAUCAUGGACAAGAUAUACGUUGCAGUCAUGGUAACAGUUGUUGCCAAGAUCAAGAGAGGAAGAGAAGCUGUAUAGGCCCUCUGGAAUGCAAGUAAUUCUCGGAUAUAUGUUAUCAAUGAAGUUUUUGUUUUAAUGCUACUAUUUGGAUCUAUGUUUGUAAUGUGGAUGUUGUUUAAAGGUUUCAAUUUUAAAAUGUUUGUUAUAUUUAUCA